AGCUCUUGACAUCCCGAUCGCGGACAGUGGAGACAUUGUCCUUCAGUUAGGCUGGAUCGGUGACAGGUGCUGCAUGGCUGUCGUCAGCUCGUGUCGUGAGAUGUUGGGUUAAGUUCCCGCAACGAGCGCAACCCUCGCCCUUAGUUGCCAGCAUUCAGUUGGGCACUCUAAGGGGACUGCCGGUGAUAAGCCGAGAGGAGGUGGGAUGACGUCAAGUCCUCAUCGG
This 226-nucleotide ribosomal RNA is filed under the name uncultured bacterium. Its description in RNAcentral is "partial 16S ribosomal RNA". It matches the Rfam family "Bacterial small subunit ribosomal RNA", at positions 977 to 1198 of the family's 1533-position model. The record is from RNAcentral.